GACGAACGCUGGCGGCGUGCUUAACACAUGCAAGUCGAACGGAAAGGCCCUGCUUGCAGGGUACUCGAGUGGCGAACGGGUGAGUAACACGUGGGUGAUCUGCCCUGCACUUCGGGAUAAGCCUGGGAAACUGGGUCUAAUACCGGAUAGGAGCCAUUUUUAGUGUGAUGGUUGGAAAGUUUUUUCGGUGUAGGAUGAGCUCGCGGCCUAUCAGCUUGUUGGUGGGGUAAUGGCCUACCAAGGCGGCGACGGGUAGCCGGCCUGAGAGGGUGGACGGCCACAUUGGGACUGAGCUUCGGCCCAGAAUCCUACGGGAGGCAGCAGUGGGGAAUAUUGCACAAUGGGCGCCAGCCUGAUGCAGCGACGCCGCGUGGGGGAUGACGGCCUUCGGGUUGUAAACUCCUUUCGCUAGGGACGAAGCUUUUUGUGACGGUACCUAGAUAAGAAGCACCGGCUAACUACGUG
This 465-nucleotide ribosomal RNA is filed under the name uncultured bacterium. Its description in RNAcentral is "partial 16S ribosomal RNA". It matches the Rfam family "Bacterial small subunit ribosomal RNA", at positions 28 to 507 of the family's 1533-position model. The record is from RNAcentral.